Molecule: ribosomal RNA, 1347 nt
Filed under: uncultured bacterium
Lineage: Bacteria
Description: bacterial SSU rRNA
Rfam family: Bacterial small subunit ribosomal RNA
Source: RNAcentral
GACGAACGCUGGCGGCGUGCUUAACACAUGCAAGUCGAACGAUGAAGCCUAGCUUGCUAGGUGGAUUAGUGGCGAACGGGUGAGUAAUACGUGAGUAACCUACCUUUAACUCUGGGAUAAGCCCGGGAAACUGGGUCUAAUACCGGAUACGACCAAUCUCCGCAUGGGGUGUUGGUGGAAAGCGUUAUGUAGUGGUUAUAGAUGGGCUCACGGCCUAUCAGCUUGUUGGUGAGGUAACGGCUCACCAAGGCGACGACGGGUAGCCGGCCUGAGAGGGUGACCGGCCACACUGGGACUGAGACACGGCCCGGACUCCUACGGGAGGCAGCAGUGGGGAAUAUUGCACAAUGGGCGCAAGCCUGAUGCAGCGACGCCGCGUGAGGGAUGACGGCCUUCGGGUUGUAAACCUCUGUUAGCAGGGAAGAAGAGAGAUUGACGGUACCUGCAGAGAAAGCGCCGGCUAACUACGUGCCAGCAGCCGCGGUAAUACGUAGGGCGCGAGCGUUGUCCGGAAUUUAUGGGCGUAAAGAGCUUGUAGGCGGUUUGUCGCGUCUGCUGUGAAGGCCGGGGCUUAACCCCGUGUAUUGCAGUGGGUACGGGCAGACUAGAGUGCAGUAGGGGAGACUGGAAUUCCUGGUGUAGCGGUGGAAUGCGCAGAUAUCAGGAGGAACACCGAUGGCGAAGGCAGGUCUCUGGGCUGUAACUGACGCUGAGAAGCGAAAGCAUGGGGAGCGAACAGGAUUAGAUACCCUGGUAGUCCAUGCCGUAAACGUUGGGCACUAGGUGUGGGGGACAUUCCACGUUUUCCGCGCCGUAGCUAACGCAUUAAGUGCCCCGCCUGGGGAGUACGGCCGCAAGGCUAAAACUCAAAGAAAUUGACGGGGGCCCGCACAAGCGGCGGAGCAUGCGGAUUAAUUCGAUGCAACGCGAAGAACCUUACCAAGGCUUGACAUAUACUGGACCGCAUCAGAGAUGGUGUUUCCCUUCGGGGCUGGUAUACAGGUGGUGCAUGGUUGUCGUCAGCUCGUGUCGUGAGAUGUUGGGUUAAGUCCCGCAACGAGCGCAACCCUCGUUCUAUGUUGCCAGCACGUUAUGGUGGGGACUCAUAGGAGACUGCCGGGGUCAACUCGGAGGAAGGUGGGGAUGACGUCAAAUCAUCAUGCCCCUUAUGUCUUGGGCUUCACGCAUGCUACAAUGGCCGGUACAGAGGGUUGCGAUACUGUGAGGUGGAGCUAAUCCCUAAAAGCCGGUCUCAGUUCGGAUUGGGGUCUGCAACUCGACCCCAUGAAGUCGGAGUCGCUAGUAAUCGCAGAUCAGCAACGCUGCGGUGAAUACGUUCCCGGGCCU